CGACGGCGGCGGCCCAGCUUGCAUCGUCGGUGACAUCGAGCGCGACGAAGUCUGCCUUGGCGCCGGCAGCGGAGAGCGCCUUUGCGGUCUGCUGGCCGAGGUCGGUCAGCACGUCACCGAUCACGACCGAGGCACCGGCUUUGGUCAGGGCCUCGGCCAUGCCGGCGCCGAGACCGCGUGCGCCGCCGGUCACCAACGCCUUGCGUCCGGUCAGAUUGAAUACGCUCAUGUAAUUUCCUCCGGGUUGUUUGUUGAGCAGGCAAGCCGCCGCCAUUCGUCAGCGGG
This 285-nucleotide unclassified non-coding RNA is filed under the name Hevea brasiliensis (rubber tree). Lineage: Eukaryota; Viridiplantae; Streptophyta; Magnoliopsida; Malpighiales; Euphorbiaceae. The record is from RNAcentral.